UGUUGGAAAGGGAGGAGAAUGAGGUAGGCAAUUCGUUUAUGACUUUUAAAGCAUGCAUGUUGGUUAUCUCCCUAACCUUGGUCCUAGAAUUUACAAGAUAGAUGCAUUUUACUUAAUUAAAAAAACUCAUUUCAUAGCCUCUCCCUCUCGCUCGUCAGUCUUCUACACUUUUCCAUUUGCACAUCUGAUGUUUGACGUUGAAAGUGGAUGCUCCAAAUGGAGCACUUUGCAAAUGUUGUUGCUCCUUAUAUUAUUCCUAUAUUUAGGGAUAAAAGAUGAAUAUGCACGUGGACAGAUCAGAAGAGGAGUUGGGGUUUCUAUAAAUAAGACAAGUAUUGCUUCCUAUAAGAGACAAACAUAAUCUCACACAAACAUGGAAAGAUUAGAAAACAGAAAAUGAGGAAGUAUUUCUAUCUUUAGUAUCAGGAGAGGAAUACUUGUGCACAAGUAUCUAAAGAGCAAAUGAGGUGCAGACCACUCACCGAGUUUUGAAGCAUGCAUUUUGGUUAUCCCUCCACAGUUGGUUAGGAUUCAGGUUCUCAUAUCACAUAUCAAGCUUCAAUUAAAAUUCAUUUUCUUCAUGUCAUUCCCUUUCCCUCUUACCCUUUUUUACGUGAGUGGCUUCUCUUUUUGAUGCUUAAGAUGGCUGCUUUGAGUGUUAAGAGACAAACACAACUAAUCAACAAUAAUAAAAACUUCCAUUAAGAAAGGAAAUUGCAAUGAUUCUUUAACCUCUUGGAACCUGUAAUAAUAUUGUAUCCCAUUUGUGAACCAGUAUGAUAUACUUGUGGAGCAUUCUAAGGAAAAAUGGAUAUUUCUCGAACAGUUUCAGCGGAUAAUACACAGUUACAGCCUGGUUGUAGACAGGUAUUUCUCCUUAGAAUGUUUUUGGUGUUCAAACGAUCAUCAAGUAAAAGCCAAGCAAAGAACUUUAAUUUGGGCACGCACUUGCUUUUUCAAAUCCAUUUCAAGGACAAAGGUGGAUGUAUAGCACUGAAAUUGAAUUUAUACAAUUUCUGAUCAGCAUAUAUUUAGGUGAUCCCCAUAUGUAAUUCCACGAAUCAUCAGGACCAUAUGUUCUCUGAGCCUGUCCAAAUCUGCCUGCAGGUUGAGAUAUUCAUUAUAUGCUUGUCAUGUUGGAAAAGCUCUGCCAAGUUUAAAAGGCCUUAUUUAAGGAAUUAUUGUAGCAUGUUUCUAGACCUACUUGGUAGUGAACAUAUUGCCUCCGCUAUGGAUUAUUCAGAUAGUUAUUUUAGCUAUUCAAAUUAUGAAUCUAAAAACAAUAAUCACAUACAAGAGGCUAUGAUAAAUAAUAGGCAUGUUUCAGAUUUUAAUGCCACUAGCAACAUACAAAAUGCACCUAUGUAUUUUCAUAUAUUGCAUUGCAACAAGCUAUCCUGCUGUUGAACAAUCAACAAGGCUGAACUGAUGACUUUAUCAAUGCUAGUUAUUCAGGAGGAAGAACGCUGCUGAGCUUAUUCAACAAUAGGUCGACGACAAUAAUAGCAAGCGGGGCAAACAGACCAUAUGGAAUCCCGCCUUGUUAGAUUGUUCUCUUGCAACAUUAAAUUCUGCAAUCUCGUGUGAUGGAUGUCUCCAUAGCUCUUCUUGAUCUCUUUUCUCUAUGGAGCUCUAUCAGGUAGAGGGGCAUGAGCCCCUCUAUCUCCACGUUUGAUCCUCCCCUUAAAGCUCUGGUGACUGCCAGAUGUAUCUAGACACAUUCCAAGUUCGCCUUGAUGAAUCUUAAGAAUAAAUCAGGUACUGGAGGCUUGAUGAAUGGAACAAAUCCUCUGGAAUGUCUCCCUCUAUUUUGAUGGAGUUGAGAUCCAAAUAUGCAGGUUGGGCAUCAUUCCGAACCCAGCCGGCAUGGGAUUAGAAACCAACAGCCGUCCAGUUUACAUGGUAAUAGAGCCGCUCUACAAUCUCAUAUAUGGCGAGCUCCUCUUCCAACCGAGCACUAGCCCUUGUGUCUCUACUUUCGGGCACCCAGUGACGGAGAAGCUCACCACAAAUAACCACCUGCUUUUUUUACCAGCAGCACAAUGGAGUUCAGACUUAGCCAACCAUUGAAGUACACUACCAUGUACUGACCUUUGACAACAUGGUGUACUAAUAAUACUACACAUUAAGCAUCAGAUUUGUUUUAUAACAAGGAUGCAUAUAUAGAUAGCAAGCGUGUUGCAUUUGAAGUCUUGUUUGGGGAUCUAAAAUAGUCUAAAAGCCCAGUUUAUUAGAGGCUAUGAUUGGGGUUAUAUAGGCGUGCCCCUUCCAGGCCUAAAAUCAUUCGCUCAAGGUUGGGUCCAGCCCAAUUCAUCUUUCUAUCAGUUUGAAAUGUUUUUGGGCUAAUUUCUCAUCCUGCUGGACGUCACAUUGUAACAAUGGAAAGCUUCAUAUAUUUUCUUGUGAUGCAGGGGCCAGGAUAAUUUUAUUCCAUUACUAUCUUUUAACAUUUUCUUUAUGUGCAACUGAAAGCAUAAUUUCAACAAGAAUGGAGAAGCUAGCAGAAGAAUGGUGGCAAGAAAAUUAGACAAGGUAUAUGCCCAUAUAAGGUUAUUGUGGUCAACAAAUCAAAUGCGAAUCUGUAUACCAUAUAUAAACGGAGCCCACUAAACCUCAUUUAUUGUUUCCACAUUGAGCCACAUCAUCUACAAGAUUAUGUCCAUCCAGUUUUAAGCCCAAGUUCAAUCAUGUUCGUUCAUUCAUUAUCCGCGCUCAAGUCUUUCCAUCUCCUGUACAGGCAUCAGUCUGGCUGUAGGUUUUUUAUUUGCCAACUUCUGUAAAUUAAGAAAAUUGGGUCACUAAUUUUUGUAUGCUUCCAAAAUCUGCUAUGUUUCCUUCCAUAGGUCCACACUGAACAAAUUAACUGGUAAGCUUUCCAUCAAUUUGCA
Panicum hallii is the source of this 2888-nucleotide long non-coding RNA. RefSeq lists it as uncharacterized. The transcript is spliced from 2 exons. Lineage: Eukaryota; Viridiplantae; Streptophyta; Magnoliopsida; Poales; Poaceae. The record is from RefSeq and is a predicted model, not a curated record.